This 717-nucleotide ribosomal RNA is filed under the name Escherichia coli. RNAcentral describes it as "bacterial LSU rRNA". It matches the Rfam family "Bacterial large subunit ribosomal RNA", at positions 540 to 1258 of the family's 2925-position model. Lineage: Bacteria; Pseudomonadati; Pseudomonadota; Gammaproteobacteria; Enterobacterales; Enterobacteriaceae. The record is from RNAcentral.
GAAAAAGAACCUGAAACCGUGUACGUACAAGCAGUGGGAGCCUCUUAAUGGGGUGACUGCGUACCUUUUGUAUAAUGGGUCAGCGACUUAUAUUCUGUAGCAAGGUUAACCGAAUAGGGGAGCCGAAGGGAAACCGAGUCUUAACUGGGCGUUAAGUUGCAGGGUAUAGACCCGAAACCCGGUGAUCUAGCCAUGGGCAGGUUGAAGGUUGGGUAACACUAACUGGAGGACCGAACCGACUAAUGUUGAAAAAUUAGCGGAUGACUUGUGGCUGGGGGUGAAAGGCCAAUCAAACCGGGAGAUAGCUGGUUCUCCCCGAAAGCUAUUUAGGUAGCGCCUCGUGAAUUCAUCUCCGGGGGUAGAGCACUGUUUCGGCAAGGGGGUCAUCCCGACUUACCAACCCGAUGCAAACUGCGAAUACCGGAGAAUGUUAUCACGGGAGACACACGGCGGGUGCUAACGUCCGUCGUGAAGAGGGAAACAACCCAGACCGCCAGCUAAGGUCCCAAAGUCAUGGUUAAGUGGGAAACGAUGUGGGAAGGCCCAGACAGCCAGGAUGUUGGCUUAGAAGCAGCCAUCAUUUAAAGAAAGCGUAAUAGCUCACUGGUCGAGUCGGCCUGCGCGGAAGAUGUAACGGGGCUAAACCAUGCACCGAAGCUGCGGCAGCGACACUAUGUGUUGUUGGGUAGGGGAGCGUUCUGUAAGCCUGUGAAGGUG